GUGAACCUAAUAUAUAAGAUAGACUCAUUACAUGCAAAGCAAGAUGGUACAAGCUGUGAUGUGGCAUAAUUGAAAUGAUUAGGGCUUACAGCUCAUGAAAACCCCAAAUCCACAAUCUCAGAAAUUUAGAAUAUUACAUGCAAUUAAUAAAAC
Pseudonaja textilis is the source of this 153-nucleotide non-coding RNA. Lineage: Eukaryota; Metazoa; Chordata; Lepidosauria; Squamata; Elapidae. The record is from RefSeq and is a predicted model, not a curated record.